This 237-nucleotide long non-coding RNA is filed under the name Salvia miltiorrhiza (redroot sage). Its description in RNAcentral is "long non-coding RNA (SMIL_LNC012112)". The record is from RNAcentral. Lineage: Eukaryota; Viridiplantae; Streptophyta; Magnoliopsida; Lamiales; Lamiaceae.
UAAGGCUAUUUACUUGAGAGCUAUUCAUGAUCGCAUUCUGCUUAAAUUCGCUCGUUGGAAAGGCAUGCAUCUUUCUAUGGCUGGGCGUAUAUGUCUGGUCAAAUCGGUUAUUCACAGCUCUAUCACUCACUCGAUGAUGGUUUAUCGUUGGCCUAGGACUUGCUUAAAGAGCUGGAUCGUAAAUGCCGCAAUUUUAUUUGGACAGGAGAUAUCUUGAAAAAACCCAAUUGCUCGGUC